Molecule: microRNA, 25 nt
Filed under: Danio rerio (zebrafish)
Lineage: Eukaryota; Metazoa; Chordata; Actinopteri; Cypriniformes; Danionidae
Description: Dre-Mir-17-P2c_3p* (star (passenger))
Source: RNAcentral
UACUGCGCUAGAUGUUCCUUUUGGC